CUCGUUAGGGGUGGAGGUAGAGGGAGUAAUGUUUUCCCUAUAUAGCAACGUGCUGCCCCAGGGCUCGAAACUCCGCUCAUGAAGUGCCUGCCCUGCAUCAUCCAGGCAGACGCGUGUGGUGCUGGCGGGGGUUCGGAGGGUGUCAGGCCCAUGCAACCCAUCCAGCGUCAUAAAGAGCAUGGCCGUUCCAUUCCAGCCCAAACGGUGAUAAGAGUCGAGGAGCGAAGAAAGAUGUGUAUGGAAGAUAACGUAGUCAUACCAGGCGACGGUAUCCCACGCGGGUAACGGCCGUCGUGUUUGGGGAUGUGCAGGUGGCUGGGAUAACACCAGGAGAUGGAUGGGCGGCGAGG
This 350-nucleotide unclassified non-coding RNA is filed under the name plant metagenome. RNAcentral describes it as "partial contains 5.8S ribosomal RNA, internal transcribed spacer 2, and large subunit ribosomal RNA". The record is from RNAcentral.